GACGAACGCUGGCGGCGUGCCUAAUACAUGCAAGUCGAACGAAGCUGUUUUGACUGGUGCUUGCACCGACUUAAACAACUGAGUGGCGAACGGGUGAGUAACACGUGGGUAACCUGCCCCAAAGCGGGGGAUAACAUUUGGAAACAGAUGCUAAUACCGCAUAACCACAGAAACCACAUGGUUUCUUCGUCAAAGAUGGUUUCGGCUAUCACUUUGGGAUGGACCCGCGGCGUAUUAGCUAGUUGGUAAGGUAAUGGCUUACCAAGGAAAUGAUACGUAGACAAACUGAGAGGUUGAUCGGCCACAGUGGGACUGAGACACGGCCCAAACUCCUACGGGAGGCAGCAGUAGGGAAUCUUCCACAAUGGACGAAAGUCUGAUGGAGCAACGCCGCGUGAGUGAAGAAGGUUUUCGGAUCGUAAAACUCUGUUGUCAGAGAAGAACGUGUGCGAGAGUAACUGCUCGUGCAGUGACGGUAUCUGGCCAGAGAGCCACGGCUAACUACGUGCCAGCCGCCGCCGUAA
RNAcentral lists this ribosomal RNA (524 nucleotides) under uncultured bacterium. RNAcentral's name for it is "partial 16S ribosomal RNA". It matches the Rfam family "Bacterial small subunit ribosomal RNA", at positions 28 to 523 of the family's 1533-position model. The record is from RNAcentral.